GGAGCGGAAUAGUUUCCUUAUCAGAAGCGAUAAUGAGGAAACGACAAUAAUGAUGAAUCAUGGAGGUGGAAACAUCUCAAUAUCCCGUCUGUGGAGUAUCUUCAACUAACUAAGCCACUGCAUAUGGUCCAGAGUAUCAGCUGGUUUUAAUACCUCAUUAUGUGACUGGAAGUUUCACUCCAGACUGUGGAUUAAAGUAGCCAGUUACUUUGUAACCAGUUGCACUCAACACUGGUUGUACAGAGGGAGGAGGAGGGAUGACCUGCAUGUUUUUGAAGCUGAAGUAACACUGAGCACUGAGUAAGUUCUGUCUUUGACUUACCAGACUGCAGCACAGGCUGGAACUGACCAGCCAUGCAGAUCUCAUCUUGUUUCUGGCGCACAAGACGCUGGAUUGCUGGAGGCAGGCCACGGGGGUUACGUGAAAAGACCAGGGAAUAUCCGUCAUCACAUGAGCCAUCAUCCUUCAGAGUGCGGCAAGCAUAGAUUCACAGCCUACCCGAAAAGAGUUACUCGGCCCUUGGACGAGGCAGUCAUGGUUCCAUCAUCAUCGAUUGUGUAUUCGGCAGAGAUGUUGUCCUGGAGGAAGAGUCCCUCUGGGUCUUUCUUCUGCUGAGCGUACCAUUUGCCUGCAUACUACAAAGUAAAAUACACCAGGUCAGGUCAGGCUGUAUGCACUGCAUUAACAAUGAGCAAACGUUUGUCCCCAUUGAGACAAUCAAACAGCAUACAACAUACCCUCUUGGGGUCAAAGUCGUCCUUGACUGUAAAACUCUCUACAGCGCAGGAUGCAGAAAAGCAGCGCUCAAUGUAUGACAGGAAAACCACCAGCAGGGCAAACUUGUAAAAUCCCAUUCUGAGCAGCCGGAGAUGAAAAGAAUGUCAUCUUAUUGGCUAUUUCCAACAGUUAUAACACUAAAAUAAUAUAUAUUUCCAACAGUGUUUUUCAAUAGUUAACCUCACAAUUGUCUAGAUCUUACCUGCUUGUUUUGAUGAUGUCCUGAAUGAAUGAAAGAAUGGUUUUAGUAGUGUAGGAUCCUUCUUUGUGGUUCUCCACAAGGCUGUGUUGUCUAAACUGACCAAGAGCCCUUUUAUACCAACUCCACAGACAGGCUUAUUGAUUAUUUUCACUUCUUGUGACUAAAUAGGGUUCUUAAAUCUACGGUUAAUCCGUUUGUAGAAAUCCUCACUGUAAUCUGGCUUCUCGGUUGAACCCUCCCAUGCUUGCCAUAAAAACAAUUAAAGCUUUAUGCAACUCAGUUGAAUACGGUGAGACUUUGUUUAAGCAAUCCAAUCACAUCUGGAAGCAAAGCUAAAAGAAUCAGUCUGCUAGCAUUAUUUGUGUAAUUGUGUUAUGCACUGCAUUAUGUAAUGUUAUUAGGUUGCUGGCAAUUUCACAAAGUGAAAAAUAGAUUUACAGUAUAGAGUAGUUUUCUCAAGUAAUAUGCAACUCAUAAUAAAUAUUUUUAUAUUUUCAGUCCAAAAAUUGGUCCUUUUCAUCUCUUGAUAGAUGUGAUAGCAAAGAAGAACGUGCUUUGGUAUGCAAGAUACUAUGUUGUAGUGGAAUGAUUGUGCCACAUGUUUCAGAGUUGACAAUGGCCAUCUACUGGCUUUGUGUUGUUUUGAUGAGAUAGAUGUGAUUACAAAGCUGCUUUUUUAUUAUAAGAGUCUGUUAUGUAAGAAGGUACUUGGCACAUUGUUGAAGAUUUAUGUGGUGUGAUCAGUUUCAUAAGGUUAAAGAGGGCCUUUUUAAUAAUAGCAUAUUUGUGUACUAAAAAAAAAGACUUUACCAAACAAAAUCUAGAAUAUACCAUAAUAUAUCUAUGAUUACAUGUUCUCAAUUGUUCCAUUUUUAUUUAUUCAUGUGUACAGUCUCCUAGUUUCCCUCAUCGUUUAAAUUGACACUCUCAAAAAUAAAAAUGGAAAUCUUGU
Non-coding RNA from Danio rerio (zebrafish), 1932 nucleotides. The record is from Ensembl. Lineage: Eukaryota; Metazoa; Chordata; Actinopteri; Cypriniformes; Danionidae.